AUGGGAGAAGUUGCCUACAAGCUGGAAUUGCCUGAAGGAUUGUCAGGAGUUCAUGAUGUAUUUCACGUUUCCCAGUUGAAGAAGUGCCACGCAGAGAUGGCUGAGAUACCACUGAGAGAUACAGUGCCACUGGAAGCGAUUCAGCUGGAAAGCGAUUUGACCUAUGAGGAGAAACCCGUAAAGAUUCUUGAAUAUGCCAGCCGAGUUACCCGCAGUAAGGUUAUCAAGUUUUGCAAAGUCCAGUGGAGUCACCAUACGGAAGAUGAAGCCACCUGGGAGCGAGAGGAAGAUCUACGGAAGGACCACUCUCACCUAUUUUCUAGCCAACCCGAAUCUCGAGGGCGAGAUUCAUCUUAA
Molecule: ribosomal RNA, 357 nt
Filed under: Triticum aestivum (bread wheat)
Lineage: Eukaryota; Viridiplantae; Streptophyta; Magnoliopsida; Poales; Poaceae
Description: partial small subunit ribosomal RNA
Source: RNAcentral